RNAcentral lists this small RNA (97 nucleotides) under Archaeoglobus fulgidus. The record is from RNAcentral. Lineage: Archaea; Methanobacteriati; Methanobacteriota; Archaeoglobi; Archaeoglobales; Archaeoglobaceae.
GGAAAACAUCUUGAAGUCUGUCGGGAUAAAGGUGAACUUCGAGGCGGAUUUUCUGGUUAUGGUUGCGAGAGUUUCAGAGUAUGAGCCAAUAAUGCCA